RNA transcript from Ziziphus jujuba (common jujube), 9085 nucleotides. RefSeq lists it as uncharacterized. The record is from RefSeq and is a predicted model, not a curated record. The transcript is spliced from 10 exons. NCBI's taxonomy places the organism in Eukaryota, Viridiplantae, Streptophyta, Magnoliopsida, Rosales, Rhamnaceae.
UUCAUAUAACCACCUUUGCGUCACAAUUACGCUUACUUCUGAGUUGGAGAGAGAGAGAGAGAGAGAGAGAGAGAGAGAAAGAGAUGGCUCUCUCCCAUCUAGGGUUGGACGGAGAAUUUUUGAUGUGUCCCGAAGCAGGAGUUAAAGAGUUUUUCAAUCUGAGUACGCAGAAAAGGAUUCUUAUUUUGGUUGGUUGGUUGGUUUCAGAAACAAAGGGGAUUUUGAUUCGAACGUCAAAUAUUCAAGGUUCAUGGAGGGGUUCCUGUGGCUUCUAGAGUUCAUUUCCAAGUGCAAAACCUGGAUGCUCAAGUCCAGCGCAAUUUGGUGAUGCAAUCUUUUCAGUUGGAAAGGAUUUGGAGGUUGAUGGAGGAAAUUCAAAUCUGUUCACAGAUCCAAGUAAGCUUUCUCAGAUAUUUAAUUUCUAGUAUCAGGCUCUUUUUCUUGUCCUAUUCCCUGAGUAGGAUUCUUAACCUUUAUUUUGUUGUUUAGUUAACCUUUCUUUUUUUGUUUAGUUAUUUGCUUUCUGUGCUGAAAUUUGAUGUAUGUUAUAUAUUAUAUAUUUAUUCCUUGAAGAAAGUUUUGAACAGAAAAUCAAGGAAGAGCGAUAAAAGAGAAUCCAAGAGAGGCAUAAUGAGUUCUUAAAUGAGAUUUCUGUUCAAAAAUAGGCAUUGCCUCUUUUUUUUUUUUUUUUUUUUUUUUUUUUUUUUAAAUAAAUUUGCUUUUCACUUUUUAUUUUUCUUAUGCAUUUCUCCUUAAGCUAUUUGCUUUUAAGGAUGAGGUAUGUUGAUUUACUAAUUUCCUUGCUUCUAGCCUGUCGGGUAUUGCUUUAGUUUGUAACCAGCUGGAAACCAAAAACGAUAGGGCACCUGGAUAGACUCUAGUGGUUGUGCCAUCGUUAGUUUAACCUGGAUGGGAAUUAGAAGUAAAAAUUUGGCUACCUAUUGUACAUAAGGUUGUCUAUGCUUGGCUUCCAGUUUUUGAUUAAUGACAUGAACACCAGACAACUAUUUAUAUUUAUUCCUUCCUUUUAUCAUUUGAUGUUGGGGUUCCAGUUUUAAAUUAAUGACAUGAAUGCCGGACAACUACUUUAUUAUUCUUCGUCCUUCCAGUUUGUAACCUGAUGGACACCUGGAUGGACCCUUUCUAGUGGUUAUGCCAUCUUCAGUUUACCUGGAUGGGAAUGAGAAAUAAACAAGUACCUAGUGUACGUUUGGCUGUGUGAUUCCUCAUCUUGCAGGGAAAAAAAUUGUUCACCAGAUAUUGAAUGUGCUCCUGACAACAUAUGAGUAUCUGAUGAACAAGCAUGACAGACCAAAAGUAAGUAAAUUACACUGGCAUGAUAUCACAAUAUAUGAAUGACAAUUGAAUACAGAAUGCUUUUUCCAAGUUAAAUGCUGACUUAAAGCGUUAUAUCAUACUUUUUAAGUGUUUUGAGUUUGUCUUGAUACAUUGAAGCUUAUUUAUUAGCAAUUUAUAGCUCUUUGAAUGUAUGCAAGUUGAGGUUUUAAAAUUUAUAGUUCUUGUGAUGUAGCUGUAUGUUUCAGCAGAAAUUCUUUCACAACACUUAGCAAUUAUAAAGAACCAGUUGGAUAGAGGUAUGUUUAUCUUACAACUACAUACAUGUGCAUUCAUGUCCAUACUGCUCUCAAGUCUUAAUUGACAAGAAAAUGCAUUUGCUACCUAAAAAAUUUAUGGCAACAGGAUUUGGUGUUAACGUGCCCAUACACCAAAUUUCUCAAACAUGCUUCUGUUGCUAAAAUUUUAAUUCUGUAUAGGUUUCUAGAGAUGUUCAUUCCACGAAGAUGUUGUUAAUGUCACUAUUUGCAACUUUAACACUGGUAAGGCUAGUGGUAGCCUAAAUCGUGAUGUAUAAUUUUCAAAACAGAUUAAUAUCAAAAUGGUGUUCUUGAUCAUUUGUAGAUCUGUAUAAUAUUUGUUAAGGUUUUUAUUGCAUCUUGCUUGUUUAUUUAGUAUGUUUUUCUUUGCUUUGUCUCUUUUUUGUUUGUAUUCGAGGAUUCUCAUCCUCUCUUUUGUAAUUUUAUUUAUUUUUUUGUUUUUUAUAUGAUGAAGUAAAGUUUCCUAAUUUAAAAAAAAAAAAAAAAGAUUUUUCAAAUUACAUUACCUUAUACUUUUGACAAUAUUUUACUUGUGAAUGCUUAGAAUUAUAUUGUUGAGGUUUUUAUUCAAUAUAUUACUUGGUCUAUCAAUCUUAAGUUCUAACUUCAGUUGUUCUUUCAUUCUUGAAUUCUGUUCCUUUGUUGAAAAUGAAUUGCCCAGAAAAGAUUGGGAGACUUGUAGGAUUUUAAGGCUUCUCUUAUCAGAAGCUUUUGUUGAAGGAGGGUCGAAGAAAAUCAGGAUCAAUUGGAAUUUCGAACGUAACACUGCAUGUUAGUUGAAUUCUUAUACUGUGCUUUCUUUCUCUUGAAUAUUUACUAUUCCCAUAUAAUUACACAAUUUUAUAUGCUCAGACUAUGACCCAAAAAACAAAAGAAAUUUACAUGCUUGGUCAGGUCUACAACUUUUUAUGCUUGGACUAUGACCCAAAAAACAAAAGAAAUUUACAUGCUCGGUCAGGUACACAAUUUUAUAUGCUCGGACUAUGACUGAAAAAACAAAAGAAAUUUACAUGCUCUGUCAAUGCAUGACUCUGCUAUGGAGAGGCAUGCUUGGUCAAUGCAUGACUGUUACUUUGCAAUAAAUGCAUUCAUCCUUAUCUUAGCUUGCUUCAUAUGGAGAGGCAUGUUCUAUCAAUACAUUUGGUUUUUUUGCUCUUUUAAAAGGGCUGAGGGAAGGGAGAAGAAAAUGGUCUCUAUCUGUGGCAUGAGUUUUCAAGCUCUCUCGAGUGCCUUUCCCAUAUGUAACCUUUAAGUACACAAUUUUAUAUGCUCGGACUAUGACCCAAAAAACAAAAGAAAUUUACAUGCUCUGUCAGGUACACAAUUUUUCAUGCUCAGACUAUGACUGAAAACAAAAGAAAUUUACAUGCUCGGUCAGUGCAUGACUCUGUUAUGGAUUGGCAUGCUCAGUCAAUGCAUGACUCUGUUACUUUGCAAUAAAUGCAUUCAUCCUUAUCUCAGCCUGCUCCAUGUGGAGAGGCAUGUUCUAUCAAUACAUUUGGAAGGGAGAAGAAAAUGGGCUCUAUCUGUGGCAUGAGUUUUCAAGCUCUCUCUCCUGCCUUUCUCAUAUGUAACCUUUAAGUACACAAUUAUAUAUGCUCGGACUAUGACCCAAAAAACAAAAGGAAUUUACAUGCUCGGUCAGGUACACAAUUUUAUAUGCUCGGACUAUUGACUGAAAAAACAAAAGAAAUUUACAUGCUCUGUCAGUGAAUGACUCUGUUAUGGAGAGGCAUGCUCAGUCAAUGCAUGACUCUGUUACUUUGCAAUAAAUGCAUUCAUCCUUAUCUCAGCCUGCUUCAUGUGGAGAGGCAUGAAUCAAUACAUUUGGUUUUUUUGCUCUUUUAAAGGGGCUGAGGGAAGGGAGAAGAAAGUGGUCUCUAUCUGUGGCAUGGUUUUUCAAGCUCUCUCGAGUGCCGUUCCCAUAUGUAACCUUUAAGUACGCAAUUUUAUAUGCUUGGACUAUGACCCAAAAAACAAAAGAAAUUUACGUGCUCUGUCAGGUACACAAUUUUAUAUGCUCGGACUAUGACCCAAAAAACAAAAGAAAUUUACAUGCUUGGUCAGGUACACAAUUUUAUAUGCUCGGACUAUAACCCAAAAAACAAAAGAAAUUUACAUGCUCGGUCAGUGCAUGACUCUGUUACUUUGCAAUAAGUGCAUUCAUCCUUAUCUCAGCCUGCUUCAUGUGGAGAGGCAUGUUCUAUCAGUACAUUUGGUUUUUUUGCUCUUUUAGAAGGGCUGAGGGAAGGGAAAAGAAAAUGGUCUUUAUCUGUGGCAUGAGUUUUCAAGCUGUCUCAAGUGCCUUUCCUUUCCUCGUUUGUAACCCAACAUUGAGUUGGUUCAUAUUUUCAUUAUCUUCAUUUGCUCAUGUUAGUUUGCCUCUAAAUAUACAUUUAUUGUAUUUUUUCUGCAAGUCAAUAGUAAUACCUAAGCAUUACCUUCCAACUGUUAUUAUACUUUGUGGGAAGCUUGACAAUUUAGAUCGGAUAUUAUCCAAGUUAAAAGCAACAGAUCAUCAUAGGGUGCGAUAAUUUUUUCUUUUCAAGUGCUUUUACUUUACCCGGUUCUAGGAGAACGUUGAUCCCAAAAGAGUCUUCGGUCCAGUUUGAGCUUGCUCUUGAGCUGGAUUCCAAGGACUCGAACUUUAAACGGAAACCAUCAUAAAUAUAUUGUCACUCACCAGUUUCUUUUCUUUUCACAGUGACCCAGCUAUAUCCAUUAUGGAGUAUUGGUACCUUUGGUUUUACAUGUGGGAGUGCAUGUGGUCCCUCAUUGAACAGUUUAAGAGACCAAAUUCACCAAUAUCUAUAUUUAUUCUGAGGGGAUUGAUUCUGAAAGUUUUUAAUGUUCCUGGUAUCCUUGUUUGGUUUUCACUUGUUGAGGUAGUUGUUGGCCAGUUAUGCAUCUUGUCCUCCUUAAAGCUUGAGGGAAGUGAAGAAAGGGUACAAAGUGUUAAUGAUGGAUGGCCAGACUUUUGGGAGCACACUAAGUGCCAUCAUCGAACAGUUUAACAGAACAAAUUCACUAAUAUUUAUAUUUCCUUUGAGGUGAUUGAUUGGCCAGUUAUGCAUCUUCCCCUCUUCAAAGCAUGAGGAAAGUGGGGAAAUGGUACAAAGUGUUAAUAGUGGAUGUCCAGACUUUUGGGAGCACACUUAAUGCCCUCAUUGAACAGUUCAACAGACCAAAUUCACCAAUAUUUAUAUUUCCUCUCAGUUUUGAACAGAAAAUGAAGAGCGACAAAAGUGAAUCUAAGAAAGACAUAAGGAGUUCUAAAGUGAGAACUUCACUUUUUAUUUUUCCAAGACAUUUCUCCUGGGGAUUUGAUUUUGAGGAUGAUCUAUGUUGAUUUAGUUUGUAACCUGAUGGAAAACCGAAAACGACAGGGCACCUGGAUGUGCCAUUUCUAGUGGUUGUGACAUCUUUAGUUUCACCCGGAUGGGAGUCAGAAAUAAACAUAUGGGACCUGGUCUAGAUAAAAUUGUCUAUGUUGGGCUUCAAGAGGAGAGGUGUAGGACAGUUGUUUCAUGACAAGAACACCAGGCAGCUACUUUAAUUUUCUUCCUUCCUUUUAUCAUGUAACAUUUAAGCUUUGUGAUUCCUCAUAAUCAUAUUGCAGGGGUGAAUUUUUCACCAGAAAUUCAAUGUCCUCCUGACAGUAUAUGAGUAUCCGAUGAGCAAGCAUGGAUGAAUUGUUCACCAGAAAUUCAAUGUCCUCCUGAUGGUAUAUGAGUAUCAGAUGAACAAGCAUGACAGACAAAAACUAAGUAAAAUUCACAGGCAUUAUAUCAUAACCUAUGAAGGAUGAUAUAAAGAAUGCUUCUUUCAAGUCAAAUGAACAACCUCGAGGAGUGCUGGACUACCUGUUGCCUAAUAUUUUUAACUCAUAGGAGACGGUCGAUUUUUUUUUUUUUUUUUUUUUUUUGGGGGGCCAGUGGUUUAGCAAACCAUUUGAGAGCAAUGAUCUUUCCUUUCUAGACAUUGAUCUUCUUUGGUUCUUUUUUUAUUUUUUUCUUUUUAUCAUCCUUUGUUAUUGUUGUUGUUGUUUUGCAAUUGCAUGGAAGAUAUCUAAUAAUCCUUGUAAUUGUUCUUGAUUCAUCAUAAUAAGGUUUUACUUUCUAAUGAGGAGAAUCCCUUGAUCAUAAAUUUGUCUUCGCUACUUUGAUCAUUUGUGCUUCAGAGGCUGAAAGUCAAGUUUAAAAGAUAUCUUACAUUUAUCACUUCUAAUUUCCACUUUUGAGGUGUUUUUAGUUCUUGACACAUUCAAGUUGAAAAUUAUGAGAAAAAUAUAGCCACAUUGAAGCGUGGCUAUAAAAUUUUUAGUUCUUCUGAUGUAACUGUAUAGUUCAGCAGAAAUUCUUUCAUGACACUUGGUAAUUAUACAUGACCAGUUAGAUAGAGUUAUGCGCAUCUUUGGUACACAUGCAUGUGCAUUCAUGUCCAUACUACACUGAAGACUUUUGUUGAUUUAAUGAUUAACAAAGAAAAUGCAUUUGCUACCCAUAAAAUUUAUGGCAAAGAACUUUGGUUUAAAUAUGCCCAUACACAAAAUGUCUCAAACAUGCUUAGGUGCUAAAAUUUAAAUUCUGUAUAGGUUAGCAGAGAAGUUGACUGCACAAUAAAGAGGUUGUUGUCACUUUUUGCAACUUUAAUGCUGGGAAGACUAGUGGUAGGCUGAAUUAUGAUGUGUACUUUUUGAUACAAGUAAAUAUCAAAAUUUUGUUCUUAAUUAAUCAUCUGUAGAUUUGAAUUAUAUAUCCGGUGAGGAUUUUUUUUUUUUCAUAAUAUUUAUUUAAGUUGCUUAUUGCAUCUGGCUUGUUCCUUAAGGUGCUUUAGCUCUUUUUGUUUGUAUUUGAGCAUUCCCGUCCUUUCUUUUCUCUGUGUGUGUGUGUGUGUGUGUGUCUUUUUAUUUAUUUUUUUGAACUAUAAAGUAAGUUUCCUAUUAAAAAAAAGAAAAAAAAAAGAGAAAAGAUUGUCUGACAACAUUAACUUAGGUGUUUGACAUUAUAUUUUUAUUUGUAAUGCUAAGAAUGUUAUUGUUGAAGUUUUUAUUCAUAUCUUAUUCAGUCUAGAAAUCUUAAGUUUUAACCACUGAUAUUCUUGCAUCCUUAACUUCUUUUGUUAUGUUGAAAAUGAAUUUGCUGAAAAGAUUGAGAGACUUUUAAGAUGUGAGAGUCAGGGUUCUGCUUAUCAUAAACUUCUGAUAAAGAGGGUUGAAAAAAAAUCUGGGUAUUGGAAGUUCAAAGGUAAUAUAGCCUUUGACAUACUUCGAAGGAAUUCAUAAACUAUGCUUUCUUUUUUACUUUUCUCUUUUUUAACCUUUAAAUACUUAAUUUUACAUGCUCGCAUGACUCUGUUAUGGAGCUUUGCAAUACAUGUAAUCGUCUCAGCCAGCUUCAUGCGGAGAGAUAUGCUCUGCUUCUAUUUCAUUUGAUCUCUUUUUGCUUUUCUAAAAUUCUGUGAGGGAAGGGUGAAGAAAAUCAUCUUUCUUGGUGGCUUGAUUUUUCAAGCUUUCUCGGUGCCUUUCAUUUCUUCAGUUGUAACCAACAUUGAGUUAGUUCAUAUUUUCACUAUCUUUUCUUGCUCAUGUUAGUUUGCCUAACUACAUGUUUAUUGUAUUUCAUCAGCAAGUCAAUAGUAAUAUACAUAGGCAUUACCUCCCAACUGAUAUGAGACUUUGUAGGAAGCUUGAGAUUUUAGAUUGGAUAUUACCCAAGUUAAAAGCAACAGAUCAUAGGUUGUCCAAUAGUUUUGUCUGUUCAAAUGCUUUUAUACGUUUGUUUUGAAAUAUUCUAGUUUGGAUAUAUUGUCACAAGCUGAAAAUUGUCACUCUCCAGAUUCUUUUCUUUUCCACAAUGACCAACCACUUGAUCUUAUGGUUGGAUGGCCUGACAUUUGGGAAUGCAUAUGUUUCCCUCAUUAACAGUAACUACAACAGUCCAAAUUCACCGACAUUAAAAUUUCUUCUCAGGCAUCUUCCCCUCUUUAGAGCUUGUAGGAAGUUGUGCAAGAUAUCUCCAGUGACCGAAGUGUCAGAGGGAGUGCUGUUAUUUGGUCAUAUAGCAUGUCUCAGAGGGCAUUUGGUGGAUUCGCAAGCUAAGUCAAGAGAUCAUAGAAUUGGCCUGAAAAGGGAUAUGCUUGUUCUUUUUGAUUUGAAAGUAGGCAUCUUUAUCAGUUACCAUGCUCUUUGAUCAUAGAAUUGGCCAGAAAACGGAUAAUUUGAAACAGUAGGCAUCUUUCCGCUUGAAGGCUUUACUCUCUGAGGAGGAGAAUCUGUUGAUCAUAAAUCUUCACCAAGUGUGUGCUUCAGAGGCAUAUCUUUCCUUUAUAUGAGUUUUAAUGUCCACUUGGGAAGUAUUUUUUAGUAGAUGUUAAUACAUUGAAGUAAUUGAAGUAUUUAUUGUUCUGCUAACUAAUUUUUUUUUUUUAAUGCCUUGCAGAAUUCUGUCUAUGUACCACCAAAUUAUAUGGCAUGACAACCAGAUAUUAACAAUGAAAUGAGAGGGACAAAGACCAAAAGAAAAAUGUUGACACAAUAUUUAAGUUAACAUGAUUUAAUGACAAAAAAAAAAAACACACACACACACACACACAAAUAAAAAAUUAAGUAAAAAUAAAGACGCCAACUUUAAAAAGAUAGAGUAAAACAAAAAAAGCCAUGAAUAAGAACAAAAGAUUUUAGUUAAAAGAAAAAAUCAUAAAAAUACAACAAAAAGAAAUAAGUUAAAAAGAGAACGGAAUUAAUAAUACCAGACAAAUGAUGAAUUAAAUAUAUAUAUAUAUAUAUAUAUAUGACGGAAAAAACAAGAGUUUUUAAAAAAAAAAAAAAAACACUAAAAAAACAAAAAUACAAAUUAAAAUGAGCACAUAGUUGUUGAUUCCACUGGUGGUUACUUGUUUGUAAAGAAAUAGAUGUAGGAAUGGAAGUGCAGCAAGUUUUUCACUCUCCGACACAAUUUUUUUGAAGUUUGAAGUGGUAAGUAGUGCUUCUUUAUAGCCGAUGCUUAUCAUUGAAAUUUUCUCAUACUCUAUUUUUUAUAAUUUAAGAUCUGCAUAAAUGUAAAUUGUGAUAAAAAUGCAUACUCCUAUCAAUGCCUUAAUCCAGAAUGCAUGCUUGUUUAAUAUCUGUCCUCGUCCUUGAGCAAUACUUUGCUGCAGGUUUGCAACUUUCUAUUGAUUUUCUUCUUUCAAGUGUUUCCUUAGGAAAUUUUUUUAUUACAUCCAUCGGACAUUGAUUACAGAUUUAGUUUGGAGUACAGUGGAACUAUUUUAAUAUCCAAGAGAUGUGGAAAUGAUUCUGAGCCUCUACCCUCUGUCCUCAUUAUUUGAGGAAUUUAUUUUAUUAUUUGCUGUGGGCAUGAACCCCGGGAAAGUCAAGUUUGGAGUACAGUGGAACCACAUAAAAAAAUCAGGGAUUUAAAGGGAAGCAAUAACAAUUUUAAUUAGUGCCUUGAAGCUUGAUUCAUAUA